Molecule: long non-coding RNA, 1010 nt
Organism: Vidua macroura (Pin-tailed whydah)
Lineage: Eukaryota; Metazoa; Chordata; Aves; Passeriformes; Viduidae
Exons: 4
Source: RefSeq, a predicted model, not a curated record
CAGAGGGGGAGAGCAAUCCAAGAGCCCUCCUGGGGCUGCUGCCUUCCCCAGCAGGGAACACUGGGAUGACUGGAGCCUUGCAAAGUGACGUUUUCCCUCUAAAUAGGAAGGUGGAGGCUUCUGAUGAGGAGGAAGAUUUUUCCAUUUCCAGACAUAUGCUGUAUUUCCAUUUCAACCACUGUCAACACACACUGGGGAAGAUCACACCUCAUUUUGGAAAAGCCAGUUCGAGCUGCUUCAGUCAUUUAAAUUAACGUUGUAUACGUGGAGGCAGUUCCUGUGAAUCCCACCUGGUUCUUUGUUCCCACAAUCUCAUUUUCCUCGUUGCUUCAACCACUCCAUACUCCAGUAACCAGUUUUUCAAACCUUCUAGCAGGUGCUAGUACAUCAUGUUCCCUCUCUCUGUCAUUUCUCAUUGUCAUCUCAUAUUGUUCAUCAAAGGAUGAGAGGGAACAUUUUCUGCAGGCUGGGGAAAUCAUCCAGUCUAACCCUGCCCCAGCUAACGUGUCACUUUUGGCCUCAGGAAAAUCAUAUCAUCAGGAGGUGACACAAGUGGCCUGGCAUUCUGAGUUUCUCAGUUUCUGAAUGCCUGUCACACUUUAAAAAGCUGGCCUUAGCUCAGCUGCCUCCCCCUUGUAAAUGGAGAUCCUGAAACCUCCCCGGAUCACAAGAGAGAGUUAAUAUUUGUUCAGUGCUUUCAGAAUGUUAAGUGCAACAAGAGUGCUGGGCCUUAUUACCAGGAAUAAUGGAUGUUUGCAACUCCAGCCUGCACUCUUCUGUGUCAUCAUUAUUUGGCUUCUAAUAAGUAACAGCUUUACCAGAAUACAGUCCCAGAAAACAUCUUUGGAAAAUGCUCUUUAUUUUCACUGUGAGCUUGAACACAGAUUUAAGAUCACAGAUCUGUUGGAGUUGAUGCAGUUAAACUUUACUGACUCUCUGGGAAUGAUUCAUCCCCGACUUGUUACAUCCAGCUUUUUGCUUUGUCAGUUAUACUUGAAUUUGUCUGAGAG